Molecule: ribosomal RNA, 484 nt
Filed under: uncultured bacterium
Lineage: Bacteria
Description: partial 16S ribosomal RNA
Rfam family: Bacterial small subunit ribosomal RNA
Source: RNAcentral
AUUGAACGCUGGCGGCAGGCCUAACACAUGCAAGUCGAGCGGAUGAAGGGAGCUUGCUCCUGGAUUCAGCGGCGGACGGGUGAGUAAUGCCUAGGAAUCUGCCUGGUAUUGGGGGAUAACGUCCGGAAACGGGCGCUAAUACCGCAUACGUCCUGAGGGAGAAAGUGGGGGAUCUUCGGACCUCACGCUAUCAGAUGAUCCUAGGUCGGAUUAGCUAGUUGGUGGGGUAAAGGCCUACCAAGGCGACGAUCCGUAACUGGUCUGAGAGGAUGAUCAGUCACACUGGAACUGAGACACGGUCCAGACUCCUACGGGAGGCAGCAGUGGGGAAUAUUGGACAAUGGGCGAAAGCCUGAUCCAGCCAUGCCGCGUGUGUGAAGAAGGUCUUCGGAUUGUAAAGCACUUUAAGUUGGGAGGAAGGGCAGUAAGUUAAUACCUUGCUGUUUUGACGAUACCAACAGAAUAAGCACCGGCUAACUUCGUG